UCCCUGAAAGACUAGUGGUUAGGCCUCAGCGCGCUGUAGCCCGGGUUCGAUUCCAGGCCAGGGAA
Pangasius djambal is the source of this 65-nucleotide non-coding RNA. The record is from the annotation of a GenBank genome assembly. Lineage: Eukaryota; Metazoa; Chordata; Actinopteri; Siluriformes; Pangasiidae.